This 471-nucleotide ribosomal RNA is filed under the name uncultured Alphaproteobacteria bacterium. Its description in RNAcentral is "bacterial SSU rRNA". It matches the Rfam family "Bacterial small subunit ribosomal RNA", at positions 9 to 524 of the family's 1533-position model. Lineage: Bacteria; Pseudomonadati; Pseudomonadota; Alphaproteobacteria. The record is from RNAcentral.
GAGUUUGAUCUUGGCUCAGAGCGAACGCUGGCGGCAGGCCUAACACAUGCAAGUCGAGCGGAUGUAGCAAUACAUCAGCGGCAGACGGGAUAGUAACACGUGGGAACGUGCCCUUUGGUUCGGAAUAACUCGGCGAAAGCCGUGCUAAUACCGGAUAAGCCCUUACGGGGAAAGAUUUAUCGCCAUUGGAGCGGCCCGCGUCUGAUUAGCUAGUUGGUGAGGUAAUGGCUCACCAAGGCGACGAUCAGUAGCUGGUCUGAGAGGAUGAUCAGCAUCACUGGGACUGAGACACGGCCCAGACUCCUACGGGAGGCAGCAGUGGGGAAUAUUGGACAAUGGGCGCAAGCCUGAUCCAGCCAUGCCGCGUGGAUGAUGAAGGCCUUAGGGUUGUAAAGUCCUUUUAACGGGGAAGAUAAUGACGGUACCCGUAGAAUAAGCCCCGGCUAACUUCGUGCCAGCCGCCGCUGUAAU